Non-coding RNA from Acanthosepion pharaonis, 114 nucleotides. The record is from the annotation of a GenBank genome assembly. Lineage: Eukaryota; Metazoa; Mollusca; Cephalopoda; Sepiida; Sepiidae.
UUACGUCCAUAUCACGUUAAAACACCUCUUCUCGUACGAUCACCGAGGUUAAGCAAUGUCGAGCCUGGUCAGUACCCAAAUGGGUGACCGCUUGUGCAUACUCGGCGUUGUAAG